This 150-nucleotide unclassified non-coding RNA is filed under the name Oryza sativa (Asian cultivated rice). Its description in RNAcentral is "partial microRNA MIR468f-2 precursor". Lineage: Eukaryota; Viridiplantae; Streptophyta; Magnoliopsida; Poales; Poaceae. The record is from RNAcentral.
AAGUACUCCCUCUAUCCCAUAAAAAACCAACCUAGUACCGGAUGUGACACAUCCUAAUACUACGAAUCUGAACACAGGUAUGUCUAGAUUUGUAGUUCUAAGAUGUGUCACAUCUGGUACUAGGUUGUUUUCUUAUGGGACGGAGGGAGU